RNAcentral lists this ribosomal RNA (165 nucleotides) under Fagus japonica. RNAcentral describes it as "5.8S ribosomal RNA". It matches the Rfam family "5.8S ribosomal RNA". Rfam says of the family: 5.8S ribosomal RNA (5.8S rRNA) is a component of the large subunit of the eukaryotic ribosome. It is transcribed by RNA polymerase I as part of the 45S precursor that also contains 18S and 28S rRNA. Lineage: Eukaryota; Viridiplantae; Streptophyta; Magnoliopsida; Fagales; Fagaceae. The record is from RNAcentral.
CUCUCGGCAACGGAUAUCUCGGCUCUCGCAUCGAUGAAGAACGUAGCGAAAUGCGAUACUUGGUGUGAAUUGCANAAUCCCGUGAAUCAUCGAGUCUUUGAACGCAAGUUGCGCCCGACGCCAUUCGGCCGAGGGCACGUCUGCCUGGGUGUCACGCAUCGUUGC